UUUUGUUUGUUUAUUUGUUUGUUUGUUUUACUAUGACUGAGGAAUUGAAUCUUUUUUGACAAGAAGCAGUUACAGACUUCUGAAAACAGGAUUUCCUCAUUUUCUACAGUGGUUUUCCACAUAAAUGCUGCAAAGGUCACAAACUUGUGAAGUGCAUAUUGUGUGCAUUAUGUGUUCAGGAUAUGCUCUGCAUCAAAAUUGCAUUGAUGCUUUCCCAUCACCUACAGUGAGUGACUUCCCUGUUGUAGAGAUCACUAGGACUACAGCCACAGUGCUCCAGUGCAACAUCUCUCUUGCUCUGCGAUGAACCAAAUUCAGCGUUUGUGAACAUAAAGAUCAGAAUUAAUAGACUGCAUGAGGUUUGUGCAAUGUCUCAAUUUUAAUAAGCUUUGUUGUUGCUUUAAAACCUGCUGAGAUAGUAAUCUGUUUAUGUUUCAGCAACACUAGGCACGGCUGCAAUCUGCUUAGGACCAGAAAACAAAGAGGUCCUGAAGAAAAUGGAAGUCUUUGCAGAGCUGAUUUUAGGGUAAACUGUACAUUUUCCCAGAUAAAUGCAAGAAAAAACAGGAAGGAAAAUGAUUUUCAGCUAAACUGAAUGCUUUUCUAGGAAGGGAGAGAUGGAAAAGUAAAGGCUUUGCACCUCCAGUACAGAAGAACAGUAUGCACUCCAUUGACAGCGUCCCCUUUUUAUUGACUUGUUUUCUUCAUUAAACUGAAAGCAGACAUGAAUUUAGCUCCAGAUAAUUCCUCUCAUUUCCUGUCGUGAUUUCCACAAUUGUCUCUUUACCAGUAAAAUAUAGCUGAUAAUAGUUUUUGGUAACAUUUAUAAAAUUCUUAGUAUAGAACGGAUGAAAAGUACUACACAUUUUCCAUUCUUCUCUAGUAAAGAGCAAAUAUAAAAAGCUAACUAAAACAAGUGUUUAAAAUAACAGCUUACAAAAACGCAUAUUAUUUUACACUCAUACUAAGCACUUGUAUAUAUUUAUGAAGAGCCAUGCUAGUUGUGGAGUUCGGUUUACUCUAAUGAUUGGUAACAUUGCAUCACUGCUCAAUGUGCAGUGAUGAAACAGCAACAGCCUCAUAAAUCAAAGCAAUGACUCAGCAUCCAGCACAUGAUCCCUGCCUUGCUUUCCUUUCCCAAAUAAAAUGUGGCAGUGAAAAGAAAUGGAUUCCUUU
Molecule: long non-coding RNA, 1176 nt
Filed under: Anser brachyrhynchus (Pink-footed goose)
Lineage: Eukaryota; Metazoa; Chordata; Aves; Anseriformes; Anatidae
Description: lncRNA (ENSABRG00000003247.1)
Source: RNAcentral